GACAGAGGGUGCAAACGUUGUUCGGAAUUACUGGGCGUAAAGAGCGUGUAGGCGGCCAGGUAGGUCUGCUGUGAAAACUCGAGGCUCAACCUCGAGACGUCGGCGGAAACCAUCUGGCUAGAGUCCGGAAGAGGAGAGUGGAAUUCCUGGUGUAGCGGUGAAAUGCGCAGAUAUCAGGAAGAACACCCGUGGCGAAGGCGGCUCUCUGGGACGGUACUGACGCUGAGACGCGAAAGCGUGGGGAGCGAGCAGG
Molecule: ribosomal RNA, 253 nt
Filed under: uncultured bacterium
Lineage: Bacteria
Description: partial 16S ribosomal RNA
Rfam family: Bacterial small subunit ribosomal RNA
Source: RNAcentral